UCCUGGCAACAGGGUUGGCACGGCAAACCCCGGCCGGAGCAAGGCCAAGUAGGCGGCGAGAGCGCCCAACUCGACAAAGACGCCGCGGGUAGGCUGCUGGAGGGCGUGAGCGAUCACGCUCCAAGAGAAAUGACCGUUACGAGGUCCCGCGAGGGAUCCCGACAGAACCCGGCUUACAGGCCAGUGUCCGUC
Molecule: RNase P RNA, 192 nt
Filed under: Gemmatimonadota bacterium
Lineage: Bacteria; Pseudomonadati; Gemmatimonadota
Description: Gemmatimonadetes bacterium (bioreactor metagenome) partial RNase P RNA component class A
Rfam family: Bacterial RNase P class A
About the family: Ribonuclease P (RNase P) is a ubiquitous endoribonuclease, found in archaea, bacteria and eukarya as well as chloroplasts and mitochondria. Its best characterised activity is the generation of mature 5'-ends of tRNAs by cleaving the 5'-leader elements of precursor-tRNAs. Cellular RNase Ps are ribonucleoproteins.
Source: RNAcentral